Cucumis sativus (cucumber) is the source of this 2819-nucleotide RNA transcript. It is a transcript of the gene named transcription factor PIF1, with no coding region annotated. The transcript has 10 exons. NCBI's taxonomy places the organism in Eukaryota, Viridiplantae, Streptophyta, Magnoliopsida, Cucurbitales, Cucurbitaceae. The record is from RefSeq and is a predicted model, not a curated record.
UCGGGAAAGAGGGAUGGCAUUGGAUAGAGAAACAUGGCGUCAAAAUCCCAUUUCGUCUUCUUCUUCUUCUUCACUCCCUCCCCCCCCUUUUUUUUCCCAUUUUUUACAAAGCAAACUCCUUCCUUAUCUCUGUCUUUCCAGUUCCGCCACUGCUGCUCCUUAAGGACGACCAGCCGCCUUCCCCUUUCCCCUCUUCUUUCUCAAUCUCAACCAAUCAUUAUCCAUCUCCCCAAAAACUACUUAUCUUAAGAUUCCAUUUCUACACCCCACAAUUGUUUUUCCUGUUUUUCACAGACGCCAUUGUUCUGCUCCCUUUGAACCAUACUUCUGCCAACCACUUUGCUUUCCCAUAUCAUCCAAUCUCUUAAUUUUAUGGUGCCCCUCCAUGGCGGAUUCAUGUUUUAUCUUUUUCACCAGGUAAUUAAUGAUCGGAAGAUUGAGGAUGAACCACUGUGUUCCUGAUUUUGAAAUGGCCGACGAUUUCUCUCUCCCAACAUUCUCUAGUUUAACCAGGCCGAGAAAAUCGUCUUUGCCGGAUGACGACGUCAUGGAGCUGCUAUGGCAGAACGGCCAAGUGGUGACGCAUAGCCAGAACCAGAGGUCGUUUCGUAAAUCUCCGCCGUCUAAAUUCGACGUUUCGAUUCCGCAAGAACAGGCGGCGACGAGAGAGAUCCGGCCGUCCACUCAAUUGGAGGAGCAUCAUGAACUUUUUAUGCAAGAAGAUGAAAUGGCCUCUUGGCUCAAUUAUCCUCUCGUUGAGGAUCAUAACUUCUGCUCCGACCUUCUUUUCCCUGCCAUCACUGCUCCUCUUUGCGCCAAUCCUCAACCAGACAUUCGACCUUCAGCGACGGCGACGCUCACUCUCACGCCGCGGCCGCCGAUUCCGCCCUGUCGGAGGCCUGAAGUGCAGACUUCUGUGCAGUUCUCUAGGAACAAGGCAACGGUUGAAUCUGAGCCAUCUAAUUCAAAGGUCAUGGUCAGGGAAUCGACGGUGGUUGAUUCUUGCGACACGCCGUCUGUGGGGCCGGAAUCUAGGGCUUCGGAGAUGGCAAGGAGGAAGCUGGUAGAGGUGGUUAAUGGCGGCGGUGUGCGGUAUGAGAUUGCUCGCGGCAGCGAUGGAGUCAGAGGUGCAUCGGUAGGUGGCGACGGCAUAGGAGAGAAAGAAAUGAUGACUUGUGAAAUGACUGUCACUUCUUCCCCCGGUGGCUCUAGUGCCAGCGCCGAACCUGCUUGCCCGAAGCUAGCUGUGGAUGACCGGAAGCGGAAAGGAAGAGCUCUCGACGAUACCGAGUGUCAAAGCGAGGAUGUUGAAUACGAAUCUGCUGAUCCAAAGAAACAAUUGCGGGGGUCGACAUCAACUAAGCGAUCUCGUGCUGCUGAGGUUCACAACCUCUCGGAGAGGAGACGUCGUGAUCGGAUAAACGAGAAAAUGAAGGCUUUACAGGAACUCAUCCCUCGAUGUAACAAGACUGACAAGGCUUCGAUGUUGGAUGAAGCGAUCGAGUACUUGAAGACACUUCAGUUGCAAGUGCAGAUGAUGUCGAUGGGAUGUGGAAUGAUGCCGAUGAUGUUUCCGGGUGUUCAGCAAUACUUGCCACCUCCAAUGGGGAUGGGAAUGGGCAUGGGAAUGGAAAUGGGCAUGAACAGACCAAUGAUGCAAUUUCAUAAUCUCCUGGCUGGUUCAAACUUGCCAAUGCAAGCUGGAGCCACAGCAGCAGCUCAUUUAGGCCCGAGAUUCCCUCUCCCCCCCUUUGCAAUGCCUCCUGUUCCUGGUAACGAUCCAUCCCGAGCUCAAGCAAUGAAUAAUCAACCAGAUCCGAUGGCUAACUCAGUUGGAACACAAAAUACAACCCCACCUUCAGUCUUGGGGUUUCCUGAUUCUUAUCAACAGUUUCUUAGCUCGACCCAGAUGCAGUUUCAUAUGACACAAGCUCUACAGAAUCAGCACCCGGUUCAACUGAAUACGAGCAGACCAUGUACUAGCAGGGGCCCCGAAAACCGUGACAAUCAUCAAUCAGGUUAAUAUUUGAAUGAAUGGACUCAAGAAACACACUUGGAGGGGAAGUUUUGGUGCAUAUUAGAGCGUCGAAAGCUUCAAACAUGCACGCCUGCUGCUUGCUAAUACAAUAUAUAUCACAAAUAACAUGUAACGACCACGUCCCUAUUGUGAUAGAAAGUAGAGUUACAGAUGGUCACGGGGAAACCGUUGCUUUUACACAAAACUAUUGUGUUGCAUUUCAUCGGGGUCAGGUCCGGGCUGAUGAUGCUGCUAGAUUCAACUUGAUGUGGUCAAUUAUGGUUGUCGUGAUCCUCAUCGUCAUUGGGAGGCAUCAAAGUAUUCCAAACUCCAACUUCAGAGCCAUUUCCAUGUUUUUUUCCUGGACCAUGGUUUCUACUGCAUGAUAUAUUAUAUAUUCUUCACUUCACAAAGUUGCUCAAGAUUCUUUUUCCUUCAUCAUAAUAAAACUUGUUUCAUACCCAUCUCAACUUGCACUUGGAAUAUAAAUUCUCAAUCAUCCAUGGAGAGAUCUCCAUAGAUAUUUUGUUUUGAUUUUACUUCUGUGCUUUUUCCACUGAACUUUCAAGGUUAUAUGAAAGUGGAAGAUCAGCAAAUUCACUGUAAAGAUGAGAAAAAAUUCAUUUUUCCUUGGUAGAUGAGAAUGUGAACUAGGGGCAUUUUUGGUAUAGUAAUUUUUUUUUUUUUUCAUUUUCUUUUUCUUUUUAGGGUGGUGGGGGGAAUAGUUUUUGGUAUGGAACCAUUGAAGGUGACAUUCCUCUUAUUCAAUAUAAAAUGCAUAACUUUUCUAUUAUUCCAAUGA